GUGAGGAAUAUUGGUCAAUGGGCGAAAGCCUGAACCAGCCAUGUCGCGUGAAGGAUGAAGGUCCUAUGGAUUGUAAACUUCUUUUGCAGGAGGGUAAAGUUAGCUACGUGUAGUUCAUUGCAAGUACCCUGCGAAUAAGCAUCGGCUAACUCCGUGCCAGCAGCCGCGGUAAUACGGAGGAUGCGAGCGUUAUCCGGAUUUAUUGGGUUUAAAGGGUGCGUAGGCGGACUAAUUAGUCAGCGGUGAAAUUUUGCGGCUCAACCGUAAAACUGCCGUUGAAACUGUUAGUCUUGAGUGCGGUAGAGGUAGGCGGAAUGUGUGGUGUAGCGGUGAAAUGCUUAGAUAUCACACAGAACACCGAUUGCGUAGGCAGCUUACUGGAGCGCAACUGACGCUGAGGCACGAAAGCGUGGGGAUCGAACAGGAUUAGAUACCCGAGUAGUCC
RNAcentral lists this ribosomal RNA (445 nucleotides) under uncultured bacterium. RNAcentral's name for it is "partial 16S ribosomal RNA". It matches the Rfam family "Bacterial small subunit ribosomal RNA", at positions 354 to 796 of the family's 1533-position model. The record is from RNAcentral.